Molecule: long non-coding RNA, 1050 nt
Organism: Mustela erminea (ermine)
Lineage: Eukaryota; Metazoa; Chordata; Mammalia; Carnivora; Mustelidae
Exons: 4
Source: RefSeq, a predicted model, not a curated record
GCCUCCACGGGCGGAGGGGGCAUUCACUGAGUUGCCUUUGUAUGCUGGGAGGACCAAGCGGAGGUUCCCACUAUGCAGCCCGGAGUCUGUGCAACCAGAUGACGCAUGAGGGGAUAAUUUAAGGAUACCGAUUGGCUCUGGUGGUGGAAUGUCAUCUUCGGCAUGUGGCACGUGGGAUGGGAUGGCAAAGUAGGGACCGAGAAUCUCCAUCCAAAGCAAACUGAGGACAUUUUCGCAGGAUAUUUUCAAUGAGAAAUAUGGAAGAUUUCUAAGCUACUAAAAUUGAAUCUCAGCAUAUUUGAGAAAUGGCAUUAGAGAGGAAAAAAAAAAAAAAAACAACAAACCUACCAUCAACAGACAACGUACACAUUUGGAAACAAGAAGAUGAGAAGGAGAGCAGAAGCAACGUAUUUCUGCCUGCUGAAACCUCAGUGUUUUUACUAAACCAAGUCAUCAGUAUCUCUUUUAACAACCAUCCGAAAAUAUGCACAUUGGAUAUUGGCAGGACCUGUGUGGAAGCCUGGGGACCUCUGUGGCCUCAUGUGCUUUGAGCUUCUGCAGGCCACUUUUUAACAGAAUGACCAGAUACAGUGUCUGGGAGCCCUUCACCUGUCUGCAGUGGGCAGCUGAGUGCCCUCCAGAAGAUGGAAGUGGAUUCAUGACAUAUCUCUUCUGAUCUUGUAGGGUCUUUUGCUGUGAAUUUUGGCUUCUUGAGAAGCCAGCUCACACAUUGCCUCCGGUGGCUGCCCUCCUGUCUCUCUAUGCUUGGUUCCAUUUAUUGACAGUUUCUUGUUUAUUCUCCAAAGCAUCACUGACAGAAGGCAGCUAUAUGGAACAGAUUUUUACUAAAAGUUUAGGGAUGACUACAGGAUUAUAGCACAGAACAGGAAGCGACCUAAAACGGAAACUGGAUUAUUAGAAGUCUUAAAGACUGCCAGCCUUUAUUUCCCACAAGGGAAAUCUUCCCUUGCCGUGUGUAUUUAGGUCCUACUUAUGCACUUACGGACAUGUUUCAUUUGACCACGGCUCCAAAAUUCCCAUUUAUUUAUG